Peromyscus maniculatus bairdii (prairie deer mouse) is the source of this 293-nucleotide non-coding RNA. Lineage: Eukaryota; Metazoa; Chordata; Mammalia; Rodentia; Cricetidae. The record is from RefSeq and is a predicted model, not a curated record.
AAACUUCGCCAAUUCACAAAAAGCCAAGCUGCCCUUUCCAGCAGGCAGUCACAGCCUAGUACACAGAAGAGGAGAUCCACCUUUAACCACCAAGCCACAGACUAAGCUGCAGGGUCUCACUCUGCAGCCCUGACUGGACAGGAACUUGAUCUGCUGACCAGACUGGCCUAAGAAUCAUAAAGAAAAGUUUGCCUCUGCUCCAGAGUGCUAGAUUAAAGGGCUGCUCCACUCUGCAUGACUUCUAGUAAUUCUGCACAGUUACUAAUGAAAUAAACAGCAGCUGUUAAGAUUCA